Molecule: small nuclear RNA, 316 nt
Filed under: Neogale vison (American mink)
Lineage: Eukaryota; Metazoa; Chordata; Mammalia; Carnivora; Mustelidae
Description: Neovison vison (American mink) 7SK RNA (ENSNVIG00000007766.1)
Rfam family: 7SK RNA
About the family: 7SK was discovered as an abundant small nuclear RNA in the mid-70s but a possible function has only recently been suggested. Two independent studies have found that 7SK RNA binds the CDK9/cyclin T complex (known as elongation factor P-TEFb).
Source: Rfam by way of RNAcentral
GGAUCUGAGGGUGAUCUGACUGCUAUGUCUGUCACCCCACUGAUCACCAGGCUUGACUCAGCUGGUCUGGCUGUCCAGGCUGGUGUCUCCUCCUCCCUCGAUGAUCUGUGAGCAUCCCUCCCGAAGCUUCAUGCUCCAUCAACAAGGAUGACCUUUCCCAAUAGAAGAGGACCAUUUUGGGGUCAAGGGUAUACAAAUAGCUACAUUCCCCCUGCUGAAACUUACAAACAAGCUCUUUAGGCCCAUUUGUAGGAGUACAUAGGGUAGUCAAGCUUCCAAGACUCCAGACCUUCCUUUAAAAAAAAAUUUUUUUUAA